Molecule: long non-coding RNA, 1352 nt
Filed under: Arachis ipaensis
Lineage: Eukaryota; Viridiplantae; Streptophyta; Magnoliopsida; Fabales; Fabaceae
Description: long non-coding RNA (AIPA_LNC001309)
Source: RNAcentral
GAUUGCUCAAGACCUUUGGUCUCUAUCCGGACUUGAUGAAAAAAAUGGGAUCACUUCUUAUGAACUUGUUGAAAAUGAUUCUGAUCUAGUUCAUAGCCUAUUAGAAGUAGAAGGCGCUCUAGUGGGAUCCUCACAGACAAAAAAAAGGUUGCAGUUAGUUUGAUAAUGAUCGAGUAACAUUGUUUUUUCGGUCUGAACUAAGGAAUUCCUUAAUAUGAUUUAAAAAAGAUCUUGUUUUAUGUUGAUAAAAGAUUUCUCUAUGAAAAAUAUGAAUCAGAGUUUGCAAAAGGGGAAGAAGUCUUCGACCCGCAACAGAUGGAGGAGGAUUUAUUCAAUCACAUAGUUUGGGCUCAUGGAAUAUGGCACUUUCUUCUUUUCAUGCUCUGCUAUUUCAUUGUCUAAGGAGGCUUUAGCAAUUUUGGUGACGAAAAUGAAUAGAAUGCCUAAGAAGAAUAUAUAAUUGAACGGAUUUUCUAAAUAUUUUCGUUUUUACACUUGAUAAGAUCAUGUUAUCUUGAGUUUUUUUUUCUUUAUAUAUAUAUAUAUAUAUAUAUCUUGUUGAGGAUGCAAAUUAUCUUUUGACUCCAAUGUAUAACUCAGUUAAAAUUAUUCAAUAUCAUUUUGAGCAUUACUAUUGAAUUUAGAAUAGGAAAACAAAAUUUGAUAGAUUUUUUUUAACGUCUCUUAUUUCUUAAAAAAUAUUACUAUUUGUUAUGUCAAUUAAAGUAAUUAAAAUAAAUAAAUACAAAGGUCGAACAAUUGUGCAAGGAAGAAAUUGUUGAUGGGAUCACUUCUUAUGAACUCGUUGAGAAUGAUUCUGAUCUAGUUCAUGGCCUAUUAGAAGUAGAAGGCGCUCUAGUGGGAUCCUCACAGACAAAAAAAAAAUGUUGCAGUUAGUUUGAUAAUGAUCGAGUGACAUUGUUUUUUCGGUCUGAACCAAGGAAUUUCUUAAUAUGAUUUAAAAAAGAUCUUGUUUUAUGUUGAUAAGAGAUUUCUCUAUGAAAAAUAUGAAUCGGAGUUUGCAAAAGGGGAAGGAGUCUUCGACCCGCAACAGAUGGAGGAGGAUUUAUUCAAUCACAUAGUUUGGGCUCAUGGAAUAUGGCGCUUUCUUCUUUUCAUGCUCUGCUAUUUCAUUGUCUAAGGAGGCUUUAGCAAUUUUGGUGACGAAAAUGAAUAGAAUGCCUAAGAAGAAUAAUUGUUAUUAUUAAAUCUCCAAAAGAAGGAGAACGGAUUUUCUAAAUAUUUUCGUUUUUACACUUGAUAAGAUCAUGUUAUCUUGAGCUUUUUUUUCUUUAUAUAUAUAUAUCUUGUUGAGGAUGCAAAUUAUCUUUUGACUCCAAUGUAUAACUCAG